UUAUUUGCUUUUACCGAUAGAUGUGCACAAUCAAAAAAGUUUGGAGCCCACUGGCCUAAAUCGCAAGCCAAAGGUUAAUACCAAAACAAAGGUGGACAUCAGCAUCUCACUCAGCCACUUUGCAGACAUAAAGCAGCUGAGUUUCAGUCAGCUCCAAGGGUUUGCAUCUCUCCUCUUUUCCUCCGCUGUUACCUAAUGAGGGGUCAGGAGGCUUAUGGGGACCUCAGGCACAGAACCAAAGCAAGCACAAAGCUCACUGCUGGCUGCUGAAGAUGGGGGAUUCCCAUUUGAGGUUGUGUGGAGGGGGGAAACAUGCACUUUCCCCAUCUUCGCACUGUGUCAGGUGUCCCCUCCACUUCAGCCAACAGGCAAUUCAGAAGUCGAACCGCCUCUUGCCCAGUUCUUCUUGUAGAAAAGGCUUUGUUUUUUUUCUGCCCAUACUUCAGAGAAUUGCUGUGUGCCCAGCCACGGUGCAGCAGAGCUGCCUCCUGCCUGGAGGAACCACCCUCUCCCCAGCCAUGGGGUUGGAAAAGCACCAUCUCCCUGCCCACAGCAUGUGCUGGUUAUCUACAGUUAACCUAUAGCUAUAGCUGUCAGGAGGACGCAGAGGGGUGGGUGCCCUCACAUGCCUUUCCAGCCCAUUUGAGAUGAAAGCAAAGCAGAGCUGUGGCUGCCACCAGGCACAGCUAUGUCCCUCCUGUCUACCUGAUGGCUUGGGGUGGUGGUGGUGCCCGGGGUGCCCAGGUGGGUGGCCAGCCUGUCUCUGUGGGAAGUUUGAGGGGCUCUAGGCCAAUGCUCUGGUCCAGGGGAUGGACACCAGGCACCUCCAGCCCAGCUACCCCAUCACAGCCGUCACUUCCAGUCACGCAUAGCUGGUGCUUAAUGAAAAAGGGAAAUGCAAGAUGAAAAAGGAAUGAUUAGUGCAGAGCAAUAAUAGUGAUCAGAUGCAGUGAGAUAUGGUAGCAAUAUAUUAAAUAAGGAACAGAAAAAAAGCCAGAUGGUUGCUCUGAUUUACUUUACAACUCCAGAUGACUUUACAAGAGGUCACUUCAUGGAACUGAAAGGCAAGUGCUUCAGGUUGGAUGAGAGUAAACAUUUCAUGUCUGCCAACAUAACAUGUAAGAGGCCAAGGCCACAACUCAAAUGCUGUGUUCAGUUUUGGGCCCCUCAUCAAAGGAAAGACACUGAGGUGCUGGAGAGAGUUCAGAGGAGGACGAUUAGGCUGGUGAGAGGCCUGGAGCACAAGACAGAUGAGGAGCAGCUGAGGGAACUGGGGCUGUUUAGCCUGGAGAAAAGGAGGCUGAGGGGAGACCUUAUUGCUGUCUGCAACUACCUGAAAGGACGUUGUAGCAUAGAGGGUGCUGGUCUCCCAAGUAGCAAGUGGUAGGAUGAGAGGAAAUGGCCUCAAGUGGCACCAGGGGAGGUUUAGAUUAGAUAUUAGGAAAAAAAUCUGCCUAGAAAGGGUUGUUGGGCAUUGGGACAGGCUGCCCAGGGAAGUGGUUGAGUCACUGUCCAUGGAAGUGUUUAAAAGAUGCAUGGAUGAGGUUCUUAUUGACAUGGUUUAGAGGUGGACUUCGCAGUGUUAGGUGUACCAUUGGUCUCAAUGAUCUUAAAGGUGUUUUCUAACCGAAAUCAUUCUAUGAGUCUAUGAUGUCUCUGCAGGGACUUCUCCCACUCCAGCCAGCAUUUCCAGGGUUGCUAAGGGGUCACUGCAGGCAUUGUGGGGGUCUCCUGCCAUCAACCCAAACUUCUCGUUGCUUUGUUCUCCCACCACAUCAUCCUGCCAGUAGCCUGGGAGGGCUGUGAGAGGUGCUGCUGCUCUGGAACAGCACCCACUUCACAGAGGUUGCACAGUGAACAUGCUGGUUUUACAUGCACACAUGCUGUGCAUGUCUUUGGGGGAGCGGGUAUUUCUGUGAGGUUGCCUGCAUUAAUUUUUAAUUGCAUCUAUGCUUUUGCGCCAUGAGUGUGCCAUAGUGAAUAGAGGUAAAUAUGCCCAUACAGCCAUGGGGACAGCAGCAUAUCCUUUUAUAUGCUGUGCAGACGGUGUGUAGGUAUCUCAGGUGUCGCAUGUCUGGCAUUUGUGGAUCCAACAGUAUCACCCCUCCAAGGUGUUUGAUUCGCCCUUAUUGUCAGAUGAAUGGGCAGGGAGCGCAGGGCGCUGCUGGCUGUAUGUACAGGGUGUGUGCAGUCUUGCCUGUCAGGGCAGCAUUUAGACCUAAGUAAGGAGGAUAACUGUCAGAUGGUAAAUGAUUAAAUAGUUGCUUUAAUAAUCCAAGUUUAGCCUAGUGGUGAAAAAUCAUGUGAUCUCAACAGGAAUAUCUAUUAUAAAGCCUUUUUAACCAGUAUGUAAGAAAUCUGUGGAGCUCAUUGCGGGAUACCUGAGAAGCCACUUGACCUUUUAUUUUUUUUUUAAUUGACUAAGAAAAUACCUCUGUGUUUAAAAGCAGUGUGAAAUAGUGCCUCAGUUCUGAGUGCUAAAGAACCCUCCCAGAUGUACGUUGAGCCCUGUAACUUAAAGCUGAUCACUGAAGUCAAGAGGGAAUUUAUUUUUCUGACACAGAAUACUUGAAUUCUCUACAGAAUUUUUGGCUUUUCAUGCCUUGAGACAAGAAACGCUACUGCUGUCAGUUGACCGUGGCCCAGUGUGUGCAAGUGAAUGUGUUUUGGGAGCACAGAACCAGGGAGGAGACGUGAACACAGGGGUGGGUGCUACCAGCAUGGCUGGGAAAGGGGUGUCUUUGCAGUCGGUGUGUCAGCGUGUGCAUGUGUGUCCGUGUCCCUGUGGUGCAGUCAUACCUGGGCUAUUCUCUGCAGAAAGUCAAGAUGGCAGCGUCUGGGAAAGGAGCCGGGACUCACUGACUGGGAUUUGCUUGUUCUCUGAAGAUGCUGGAAAUUCAGGAUCCCGGAGGGUGGGCAUUUUGCUGCUGAUAGUGAGGUUCCCCUCUUCUUCUGGAGCCCUCUGAGGGGAAAGCACCAGCCUUUCUUCAGAUGUUCCAAGACGGUUGUUGUGACCAUCUGGGUAAGACUGAACUUUGCUGGGAGAAAGGAGUUACAAUCAUACUGCAGGCAACGGUCUCAAGGCAGCCAGGUAGAGGCUGUGCAUGUGUGGAUGAAAUAAGAGCUCUGCAAAAGAUAACUGCCCCUGCAAAUACUGGAAACGCUUCAGCUUGUCGGUCUCACCCUUAUUUGAGUUCGGUUUACCAGUUAAGG
Molecule: long non-coding RNA, 3213 nt
Organism: Columba livia (rock pigeon)
Lineage: Eukaryota; Metazoa; Chordata; Aves; Columbiformes; Columbidae
Exons: 2
Source: RefSeq, a predicted model, not a curated record